Molecule: unclassified non-coding RNA, 233 nt
Filed under: plant metagenome
Description: partial contains small subunit ribosomal RNA, internal transcribed spacer 1, and 5.8S ribosomal RNA
Source: RNAcentral
UUUCCGUAGGUGAACCUGCGGAAGGAUCAUUAUUAGAUUUUGAAACUUCAGGCUGCUGCUGGCUCUCCUCGGAGGGCAUGUGCACGCUUGUUGUCCAUUAUUUCUCCCACUGUGCACAAAUUGUAGACCUUUCAGUAGGCCUAUGUUGUUUUUCACAAUCUCUGAAUGUAUUAGAAUGGUUUUGAAUCUUGGGAAAUACAAUACAACUUUCAGCAACGGAUCUCUUGGCUCUC